Molecule: long non-coding RNA, 1069 nt
Organism: Amphimedon queenslandica
Lineage: Eukaryota; Metazoa; Porifera; Demospongiae; Haplosclerida; Niphatidae
Exons: 3
Source: RefSeq, a predicted model, not a curated record
GCAAUAGCAUUAGUGAAGCUGUAAGAAGGAAUAAAUAAGCUCCAGAUUCGUUGUAUGAACUAGAUAUUGACGAGGCUGCACCUCGACCACAUCACUGACUGGAUCUUGGAAUUAUGAAAUAUUUUUCUGGCAUAUACGGUACAAUAGUUAGUCCUCGUGUUCUAUAGUCCUCGUGAUAAUUAGCUCUGGGAUGGUGGAUAUAGCCAUUGCUACUGUAAUAGUAUGACUAUGAUUAGUAUCUAUGGUAUAGCUAUAUAUAUAUAUAUAAUACUUUUAUUAACAAAUUCAAUGUAUGCAAAAGCCAAGGUGAAAGCAGAUCUAAAUCUAACCAUAUUAUCUUUGAUCUAACCAUAGAUCACAACCACAACUGUUCAUUCCAGUCUCUUCAAUCAUAGAUAUGCUUCAAUUAUAUGACAGUACAAGCCUUGUACCAGCUGGAGCAGAAAUAUUUGAACCCCUCUAUUUUGCCAAGGAACCAGAAACAGGGCAAGCAAAUAUUAUCAAUGUCAUUUAGUAAUUUUAACAGCAAUACAGUUGCUGCAUGCUCCCGUGAUUAGUAUAAUAAUUUUUGCAAAGUAUUACACAAUUUACUUUUUACUGAUGUUGUUAUUUUAGAUUGCACCCAUCAAGAAACUUUAAAUUAUCUUUUGUUCGGAAUGGUAUUGGUCCUGGUCGUAUUUUUGGGUCUGGGGUGCCUUUUAAAAGGCUGAGAAAUGUACAAAAGUAAAUUCCCCAGGCUCAAGAAUAAAGAGGAGGAUAUUACAAUCCGCCAAAUAAACCAGUGGUACAGAAAUUUAAAAAGUAUUAUUCUCUCAGAUUCUUGCGAUCCUACCAUCUGAGCUGGUAGUAGCAGCAACUACUUUCGUAUCAAAAGAUAUAAUUUCUUCAGAAUGCUAUAGCUAUAUCCUCACAUGUAGUGGACAAUCAGAAAAAGCGGUGCAUCUGUUAAAUAAAAUUUUGCUACAAUUAAGUAGCUGCCCCGAUGGCAGCUAUACUUAGACAGAUUCAUUGACUCUUUAAAAACCCUGGAACAUCCAGGACUUGAUAUUAUUAUUAUUAAAAAAUUUAA